RNAcentral lists this non-coding RNA (23 nucleotides) under Rattus norvegicus (Norway rat). Lineage: Eukaryota; Metazoa; Chordata; Mammalia; Rodentia; Muridae. The record is from RNAcentral.
UGAUUCUGAAUUCCCCUCUUUGG